CCCGGACCUUGUACACACCGCCCGUCAAGCGAGUGGAAGUUGGGAGGACCUGAAGGCAGUAGCUGUGAGGCGCUGUUUAGGGUUAAGCCGAUAACUGGCGCU
Molecule: ribosomal RNA, 102 nt
Filed under: uncultured bacterium
Lineage: Bacteria
Description: partial 16S ribosomal RNA
Source: RNAcentral